RNAcentral lists this ribosomal RNA (674 nucleotides) under uncultured bacterium. Its description in RNAcentral is "bacterial SSU rRNA". It matches the Rfam family "Bacterial small subunit ribosomal RNA", at positions 43 to 706 of the family's 1533-position model. The record is from RNAcentral.
CAGGCUUAACACAUGCAAGUCGAGGGGCAGCAUGGUCUUAGCUUGCUAAGGCCGAUGGCGACCGGCGCACGGGUGAGUAACACGUAUCCAACCUGCCGUCUACUCUUGGACAGCCUUCUGAAAGGAAGAUUAAUACAAGAUGGCAUCAUGAGUCCGCAUGUUCACAUGAUUAAAGGUAUUCCGGUAGACGAUGGGGAUGCGUUCCAUUAGAUAGUAGGCGGGGUAACGGCCCACCUAGUCUUCGAUGGAUAGGGGUUCUGAGAGGAAGGUCCCCCACAUUGGAACUGAGACACGGUCCAAACUCCUACGGGAGGCAGCAGUGAGGAAUAUUGGUCAAUGGGCGAGAGCCUGAACCAGCCAAGUAGCGUGAAGGAUGACUGCCCUAUGGGUUGUAAACUUCUUUUAUAAAGGAAUAAAGUCGGGUAUGGAUACCCGUUUGCAUGUACUUUAUGAAUAAGGAUCGGCUAACUCCGUGCCAGCAGCCGCGGUAAUACGGAGGAUCCGAGCGUUAUCCGGAUUUAUUGGGUUUAAAGGGAGCGUAGAUGGACGUUUAAGUCAGUUGUGAAAGUUUGCGGCUCAACCGUAAAAUUGCAGUUGAUACUGGAUAUCUUGAGUGCAGUUGAGGCAGGCGGAAUUCGUGGUGUAGCGGUGAAAUGCUUAGAUAUCACGAAGAA